UGCACUCUGGGAUAAGCCUGGGAAACUGGGUCUAAUACCGGAUAGGACCUUCGGCCGCAUGGCUGGGGGUGGAAAGUUUUUCGGUGCAGGAUGAGCCCGCGGCCUAUCAGCUUGUUGGUGGGGUAAUGGCCUACCAAGGCGACGACGGGUAGCCGGCCUGAGAGGGCGACCGGCCACACUGGGACUGAGACACGGCCCAGACUCCUACGGGAGGCAGCAGUGGGGAAUAUUGCACAAUGGGCGCAAGCCUGAUGCAGCGACGCCGCGUGAGGGAUGACGGCCUUCGGGUUGUAAACCUCUUUCACCCAUGACGAAGCGCAAGUGACGGUAGUGGGAGAAGAAGCACCGGCCAACUACGUGCCAGCAGCCGCGGUAAUACGUAGGGUGCGAGCGUUGUCCGGAAUUACUGGGCGUAAAGAGCUCGUAGGCGGUUUGUCGCGUCGUCUGUGAAAACCCGCAGCUCAACUGCGGGCUUGCAGGCGAUACGGGCAGACUCGAGUACUGCAGGGGAGACUGGAAUUCCUGGUGUAGCGGUGAAAUGCGCAGAUAUCAGGAGGAACACCGGUGGCGAAGGCGGGUCUCUGGGCAGUAACUGACGCUGAGGAGCGAAAGCGUGGGUAGCGAACAGGAUUAGAUACCCUGGUAGUCCACGCCGUAAACGGUGGGCGCUAGGUGUGGGUUUCCUUCCACGGGAUCCGUGCCGUAGCCAACGCAUUAAGC
This 720-nucleotide ribosomal RNA is filed under the name Actinomycetes bacterium. RNAcentral describes it as "bacterial SSU rRNA". It matches the Rfam family "Bacterial small subunit ribosomal RNA", at positions 132 to 865 of the family's 1533-position model. The record is from RNAcentral. Lineage: Bacteria; Bacillati; Actinomycetota; Actinomycetes.